UUCGUAGGUGGCCCGCUAAGUCACACGUGAAAUCCCUCAGCUUAACUGGGGAACUGCGUGUGAGACUGGCGGGCUUGAGUGCAGGAGAGGAACGCGGAAUUCCAGGUGUAGCGGUGAAAUGCGUAGAUAUCUGGAGGAACACCGGUGGCGAAGGCGGCGUUCUGGACUGUAUCUGACACUGAGGAACGAAAGCCAGGGGAGCAAACG
Molecule: ribosomal RNA, 207 nt
Filed under: uncultured bacterium
Lineage: Bacteria
Description: partial 16S ribosomal RNA
Rfam family: Bacterial small subunit ribosomal RNA
Source: RNAcentral